This 815-nucleotide ribosomal RNA is filed under the name Ligophorus johorensis. RNAcentral describes it as "eukaryotic LSU rRNA". It matches the Rfam family "Eukaryotic large subunit ribosomal RNA", at positions 77 to 671 of the family's 3401-position model. Lineage: Eukaryota; Metazoa; Platyhelminthes; Monogenea; Dactylogyridea; Ancyrocephalidae. The record is from RNAcentral.
CUCCCAGUAACGGCGAGUGAACGGAGAUUAGCCCGUCACCGAAGUCCGGUGCUCUUGCACUCGUGACCAUGUGGUGUUGAGGCGUGCACCUGGGGCCUCGUGACUGCCCGAAGUCCAACUUCGAUUAUGGCUUGGAAUUAGCCCAGAGCGGGUGAAAGGCCCGUGCGGGUAGAAGUUUGACUGUGAGCGGGGCCCUCGGCUGUGCAUGCUUUCGAGUCGGAUUGCUUGAGAAUGCAGUCCAAAGUGGGUGGUAAACUCCAUCCAAGGCUAAAUACUGGCACGAGUCCGAUAGUAGACAAGUACCGUGAGGGAAAGUUGAAAAGUACUCUGAAGAGAGAGUAAAUAGUACGUGAAACCGAUCGCAGGGAAGCUGGUGGAGUCAAGCUUCAUGCUUGGAGAAUUCUCGCAUGGAGAUUGCUGUGAAUGUGGGCUGCAUGUCGGACAGCUUGGAAAGAGCUGGUCGCACUCGUGUGAUUCAGGUCUGCCCGGGCCGGCUGAAUGUUGCGUCGUGUUGGCCCUGCUCUGUGCGAUCUAUUCUCCUUGGCAUAGGCCAUGGUCGACAGCGUCUUGCGGACGCGCCCUCCGGCUGUCUAACUGUGCGUUGGCGAGCCUCUGGCUUGCCAAUCGCAGGAGGGCAGUUGGUGUCCGUGGGGCCAGUGUCCACGGGUGCCCAAUCCGGUCUUGACUGGCCGAUGGCCGGGCGGUGUCGUCGCUGUCGUUGAUGUGUGGCCUGGUGCCCAAGGGCGCCUGACCGCUCAGAACCAUGGUUCUGAGGUAGACUUUCCACCCGACCCGUCUUGAACCACGGACCAAAA